This 472-nucleotide ribosomal RNA is filed under the name [Candida] sp. RNAcentral describes it as "Candida sp. (in: Saccharomycetales) partial large subunit ribosomal RNA". It matches the Rfam family "Eukaryotic large subunit ribosomal RNA", at positions 114 to 589 of the family's 3401-position model. The record is from RNAcentral. Lineage: Eukaryota; Fungi; Ascomycota; Saccharomycetes; Saccharomycetales.
UUUGAAAUCUAGCACUUUCAGUGUUCGAGUUGUAAUUUGAAGAAGGUAACUUUGGAAUUGGCUCUUGUCUAUGUUCCUUGGAACAGGACGUCACAGAGGGUGAGAAUCCCGUGCGAUGAGAUGUCCAAUUCUAUGUAAAGUGCUUUCGAAGAGUCGAGUUGUUUGGGAAUGCAGCUCUAAGUGGGUGGUAAAUUCCAUCUAAAGCUAAAUAUUGGCGAGAGACCGAUAGCGAACAAGUACAGUGAUGGAAAGAUGAAAAGAACUUUGAAAAGAGAGUGAAAAAGUACGUGAAAUUGUUGAAAGGGAAGGGCUUGAGAUCAGACUUGGUAUUUUGUGUUCCUUAUCCUUCUUGGAUUAGGUUCCUCACAGCUUACCGGGCCAGCAUCGGUUUGGAUGGCAGGAUAAUGACAUUGGAAUGUAGCUUUGCUUCGGUGAAGUGUUAUAGACUUUGUUGAUACUGCCUAUCUAGACC